Molecule: ribosomal RNA, 773 nt
Filed under: uncultured Neocallimastigales
Lineage: Eukaryota; Fungi; Neocallimastigomycota; Neocallimastigomycetes; Neocallimastigales
Description: partial large subunit ribosomal RNA
Rfam family: Eukaryotic large subunit ribosomal RNA
Source: RNAcentral
AGAGAGAGACAUGCGCGCAUAUCAAUAAGCGGAGGAAAAGAAACUAACAAGGAUUCCCUUAGUAACGGCGAGUGAAGCGGGAAGAGCUCAAAUUUGAAAUCUUCAAGGUUUUACCCUGACGAAUUGUAGUUUAAAGAAGUGUUUUCUGCUGAAGUUUUGGUAAAAGUUCUUUGGAAUAGGACAUCAUAGAGGGUGAGAAUCCCGUAUUUGACCAUUAUUUUCAGCUUUGUGAUACACUUUCAAAGAGUCGGAUUGUUUGGGAAUGCAGUCCAAAAUGGGUGGUAAAUUUCAUCUAAAGCUAAAUAUUGGCGAGAGACCGAUAGCGAACAAGUACCGUGAGGGAAAGAUGAAAAGAACUUUGAAAAGAGAGUUAAACAGUACGUGAAAUUGUCAAAAGGGAAGCGUUUGACACCAGUGUUGUUUUCUCGAAAAUCAAUUAAAAAUGGCUCGAUUUUGUAUUGUUGAGACCUUAAAAGCUCACUGUACAUUUUUCGUGUCUUUUUUAAUGCACUUUUCGUUUAACAAGUCAACAUCAGUUUCUUUUGUUGUAAAAGGGUCAUUGGAAGGUGGCUUUCUUUUCGGAGAAAGUGUUUAUAGCCUUUGGCCUCUGCAAUCGAGAGACUGAGGUCUGCAGCGUAGACUCUUCGGGGUUAGAUACAUUUGUGCUAAGUUAUAGCUUUUUAUAGACAACUUGUUGACUAUAAUUAGUCUUGUAGCUUACUCGCUUAUGCUAUUUUACCUACGCUUAGGAUGUUGAGUCGUAGAGCACGCAG